AUUGAACGCUGGCGGAAUGCUUUACACAUGCAAGUCGAACGGCAGCACGGGGGCAGCCCUGGUGGCGAGUGGCGAACGGGUGAGUAAUACAUCGGAACGUGCCCGGUCGUGGGGGAUAACGUAGCGAAAGUUACGCUAAUACCGCAUACGAUCUGAGGAUGAAAGCGGGGGACCUUCGGGCCUCGCGCGAUCGGAGCGGCCGAUGUCAGAUUAGGUAGUUGGUGGGGUAAAGGCCUACCAAGCCGACGAUCUGUAGCUGGUCUGAGAGGACGACCAGCCACACUGGGACUGAGACACGGCCCAGACUCCUACGGGAGGCAGCAGUGGGGAAUUUUGGACAAUGGGCGCAAGCCUGAUCCAGCCAUUCCGCGUGCAGGACGAAGGCCUUCGGGUUGUAAACUGCUUUUGUACGGAACGAAAAGGCUCUGGCUAAUACCUGGGGCUCAUGACGGUACCGUAAGAAUAAGCACCGGCUAACUACGAG
This 484-nucleotide ribosomal RNA is filed under the name uncultured bacterium. RNAcentral's name for it is "partial 16S ribosomal RNA". It matches the Rfam family "Bacterial small subunit ribosomal RNA", at positions 29 to 507 of the family's 1533-position model. The record is from RNAcentral.